This 910-nucleotide unclassified non-coding RNA is filed under the name Hevea brasiliensis (rubber tree). Lineage: Eukaryota; Viridiplantae; Streptophyta; Magnoliopsida; Malpighiales; Euphorbiaceae. The record is from RNAcentral.
AAAAAAAAAAAAAAAAGCUGCUGCUCCUUCAAAUUAUUCCCACGUGGGAAAACAUCUUUGAUGAUUAGAGCAAUAUACAAUUACAAGAAUUGAUAUGGUAGGUGUUCACAGCUGUGAAGAAAAACACAUUACAGCUUCAGGGCAGAUUGUUACUUCAUGCACCCUCUUUGAUGCUGACGAUAAUUUGAUAUCUGAAGUAUGGGAAUGGUGUGUCUGCUGAUUUUGCAGCUCAGAUCCUAGGUCUACAAAUUUUGAUUCCUGUCGUAACACGUUAAGAUUAUGUGCUGUUCUCUCAUGUAUUAAGCUAAGAAUCUUUCAGCUUCUCAAUUUUAUAGCGGCUCAAGUUUUCAGAGUACAGUAUGCCAUCAGGAGAAAGAAGUCGCUGGAGAGCUAGGAAAAAUCGUGACCAUUGAAAUCCUACAAGUGCAUACCAGCAGCCAGCCAAACCACAUCCUCUGCCGCUCACAAGCUGGCACCAAGAAAGUGACUGCUACUAAGCCAUGGGAAAUGGAAAGAAUAUUGAAAUAGAAUCUAGGGGACCCAAAAAUAGAUAUCUACCAUCAAUACAAGGGCACCGAAAGAAAGGCAUCCAGUCAUUGACAGGCUAAGAAAUUUGAGAUCCCGUCCAGCCAUUAGCGUCCCUUCAAGGCUAUGAGUGCUAGAUGUAAUAGCCAACGCCAUGAAGUAUGGUAAAAGCACUUUGUGCAUCUCCCGUACAACAUUUUGAUCAGGUGUAAAGAGAUUUGGGUACAACCAAGGAACACAUGUUCCAAUCACACCUAAAACCAAUCCAAGUGUAGCUCCAACCAUCACUAGUGACUUUAGUAACGUCCGAGCCUUUGCCAAACUUCGAUUGACACCGUAUAUCAACUCAGGCAUAAAUGACUGUGCAGUUUGAGAAAGAGGCUCA